This 806-nucleotide long non-coding RNA is filed under the name Androctonus crassicauda. The record is from RNAcentral. Lineage: Eukaryota; Metazoa; Arthropoda; Arachnida; Scorpiones; Buthidae.
AAUAAACACAAAUGAAACUGUAUAUUAUUAUAUAAAUAAUUACUUUGACAGAUUUGAGUCAUAAAUAAGAUUAUGAUUUGUAGUUCCAAUGUUCAAUAAGAUUGGCCAUCCAUUUAUCUUGGUGAAGUCUUUCUAUCACCAAUAUCAACUAUACUUUGUCAUUAAUUUAUUAUAUCUAAAUUAUCUAGUAAUCUUGCAAUCCAUAUUAACCCAUUCAUCAAAUUUUAUAAUCAGGAAUACAGAAUUGAUUUUUAGUAAAGCCAAUAAUAGUCAUCAUAAUCUCAUUCUUAUAUAUACAAAAUUUUAAAAUAAAGUUGAAAAUGUUGGCUCAACUCUUCUUGAUUCAUGUUGUAUUUAUUCAUGUUCUAAAGUUGAAAAUAUGAAAUAAUUUAAUUUUUAAGCAUUUAAUUAUUUAAUAGUACCAUAUACUAUUGUAUUUUUUAAAAUCUGUCUAUACAUAUUUGUCAUAUUUUCAUAAUACAGAUAUUCCUCAGCUUAUGAUACCAUUGAUUUAAAAUCUUUAUACUCAAAACCAUGAUGCAGUUGAUAAGACCUGUAGUUAGUUGAUGCAGUUCACAUGCAGGCAAGUCCAUGUGCAAUAAUCUAAUAAUAAUAUCCAUUUUAUAAAUUUACUAUGAUUAUAUGUUGCAUUAUGAUGAAUAAUGAUAGUGGGAAAUCAAUAUAUGUGUUAUUUCUGCCACAUUGUAAGCUAUCGUACCACAUAGCUUACAACCUGAUAAUUAAAAUUAGUCCUUAACAUAUUAUAGAAUUCAUCUGUAUUAAAAUUUGCCAAAUUGUUAAAAAAU